UAGGGUGGUUUUAGCGGUGGGGCUCACCUGUUCCCAUUCCGAACACAGAAGUUAAGCCCACCAGCGCCGAUGGUACUGCGAAAGCGGGAGAGUAGGCCGCCGCCAGUUUUUAUUAAAAAGUCUCAUACAGUUUUGUGUGAGACUUUUUU
RNAcentral lists this ribosomal RNA (149 nucleotides) under Chryseobacterium oleae. The record is from RNAcentral. Lineage: Bacteria; Pseudomonadati; Bacteroidota; Flavobacteriia; Flavobacteriales; Weeksellaceae.